This 452-nucleotide ribosomal RNA is filed under the name uncultured bacterium. Its description in RNAcentral is "bacterial SSU rRNA". It matches the Rfam family "Bacterial small subunit ribosomal RNA", at positions 340 to 786 of the family's 1533-position model. The record is from RNAcentral.
UACGGGAGGCAGCAGUGGGGAAUAUUGCACAAUGGGCGCAAGCCUGAUGCAGCCAUGCCGCGUGUAUGAAAAAGGCCUUCGGGUUGUAAAGUACUUUCAGUCGUGAGGAAGGUGUUAAGGUUAAUAACCUUAGCAAUUGACGUUAGCGACAGAAGAAGCACCGGCUAACUCCGUGCCAGCAGCCGCGGUAAUACGGAGGGUGCGAGCGUUAAUCGGAAUUACUGGGCGUAAAGGGCACGCAGGCGGUUAAUUAAGUUGGAUGUGAAAUCCCCGGGCUAACCUGGGAAUGGCAUUCAAGACUGGUUAGCUAGAGUCUUGUAGAGGGGGUAGAAUUCCAUGUGUAGCGGUGAAAUGCGUAGAGAUGUGGAGGAAUACCGGUGGCGAAGGCGGCCCCUGGACAAAGACUGACGCUCAUGUGCGAAAGCGUGGGGAGCAAACAGGGAUUAGAUACC